GGCGAGUGAGCGGCAAAAGCUCAAAUUUGAAAUCUGGUACCUUCGGUGCCCGAGUUGUAAUUUGGAGAGGGCAACUUUGGGGCCGUUCCUUGUCUAUGUUCCUUGGAACAGGACGUCAUAGAGGGUGAGAAUCCCGUGUGGCGAGGAGUGCGGUUCUUUGUAAAGUGCCUUCGAAGAGUCGAGUUGUUUGGGAAUGCAGCUCUAAGUGGGUGGUAAAUUCCAUCUAAAGCUAAAUAUUGGCGAGAGACCGAUAGCGAACAAGUACAGUGAUGGAAAGAUGAAAAGAACUUUGAAAAGAGAGUGAAAAAGUACGUGAAAUUGUUGAAAGGGAAGGGCAUUUGAUCAGACAUGGUGUUUUGUGCCCUCUGCUCCUUGUGGGUAGGGGAAUCUCGCAUUUCACUGGGCCAGCAUCAGUUUUGGUGGCAGGAUAAAUCCAUAGGAAUGUAGCUUGCCUCGGUAAGUAUUAUAGCCUGUGGGAAUACUGCCAGCUGGGACUGAGGACUGCGACGUAAGUCAAGGAUGCUGGCAUAAUGGUUAUAUGCCGC
This 545-nucleotide ribosomal RNA is filed under the name Saccharomyces cerevisiae (brewer's yeast). RNAcentral's name for it is "partial large subunit ribosomal RNA". It matches the Rfam family "Eukaryotic large subunit ribosomal RNA", at positions 88 to 648 of the family's 3401-position model. The record is from RNAcentral. Lineage: Eukaryota; Fungi; Ascomycota; Saccharomycetes; Saccharomycetales; Saccharomycetaceae.